GAGGGUAUAGCUCAAGUGAUAGAGAGCAUGCUUAGCAUGCAUGAGGUCCUGAGUUCAAUCCCCAGUACCUCCA
Molecule: transfer RNA, 73 nt
Organism: Camelus ferus (Wild Bactrian camel)
Lineage: Eukaryota; Metazoa; Chordata; Mammalia; Artiodactyla; Camelidae
Rfam family: tRNA
About the family: Transfer RNA (tRNA) molecules are approximately 80 nucleotides in length. Their secondary structure includes four short double-helical elements and three loops (D, anti-codon, and T loops).
Source: Rfam